This 497-nucleotide ribosomal RNA is filed under the name uncultured bacterium. Its description in RNAcentral is "partial 16S ribosomal RNA". It matches the Rfam family "Bacterial small subunit ribosomal RNA", at positions 28 to 507 of the family's 1533-position model. The record is from RNAcentral.
GAUGAACGCUGGCGGCGUGCCUAAUACAUGCAAGUCGAGCGAACAGAUAAGGAGCUUGCUCCUUUGACGUUAGCGGCGGACGGGUGAGUAACACGUGGGUAACCUACCUAUAAGACUGGGAUAACUUCGGGAAACCGGAGCUAAUACCGGAUAAUAUUUCGAACCGCAUGGUUCGAUAGUGAAAGAUGGUUUUGCUAUCACUUAUAGAUGGACCCGCGCCGUAUUAGCUAGUUGGUAAGGUAACGGCUUACCAAGGCGACGAUACGUAGCCGACCUGGGAGGGUGAUCGGCCACACUGGAACUGAGACACGGUCCAGACUCCUACGGGAGGCAGCAGUAGGGAAUCUUCCGCAAAGGGCGAAAGCCUGACGGAGCAACGCCGCGUGAGUGAUGAAGGUCUUCGGAUCGUAAAACUCUGUUAUUAGGGAAGAACAUACGUGUAAGUAACUGUGCACGUCUUGACGGUACCUAAUCAGAAAGCCACGGCUAACUACGUG